This 350-nucleotide ribosomal RNA is filed under the name uncultured bacterium. RNAcentral describes it as "bacterial SSU rRNA". It matches the Rfam family "Microsporidia small subunit ribosomal RNA", at positions 92 to 411 of the family's 1311-position model. The record is from RNAcentral.
UAAUACUGCGAUGAUUUGAUUGAUGGUGGCGUUGUAACUACGGGAAACUGUAGGUAGGGGGCCUUAGGAUAUGGGGGAGACGAAGUAUGUGUGUUGAGUAAGUUGCAGACCUAUCAACUGGUAGUUAGGGUAAUGGCCUAACUAGGUGGUGACGGGAGACGGGGGAUUAGGGUUUGAUUCCGGAGAGGGAGCCUGAGAGAUGGCUACUACGUCCAAGGAUGGCAGCAGGCGCGAAACUUGCCUACUCUAAGAUAUAGGAGGCAGUGAUGAGACGUGAGUGAUUGUGGUGCGUUGUAAAGAGACGUACUGAUAUUGGAGGGCAAGUCGGGUGCCAGCCGCCGCCGUAACAC